This 345-nucleotide unclassified non-coding RNA is filed under the name soil metagenome. RNAcentral describes it as "partial contains 5.8S ribosomal RNA, internal transcribed spacer 2, and large subunit ribosomal RNA". The stretch from base 1 to 119 matches the Rfam family "5.8S ribosomal RNA", at positions 35 to 154 of the family's 154-position model. The record is from RNAcentral.
GAUGAAGAACGCAGCGAAAUGCGAUACGUAAUGUGAAUUGCAAAUUCAGUGAAUCAUCGAGUCUUUGAACGCACAUUGCGCCCCCUGGUAUUCCGGGGGGCAUGCCUGUCCGAGCGUCAUUGCUGCCCUCAAGCACGGCUUAUGUGUUGGGCCCCGUCCUCCGAUCCCGGGGGACGGGCCCGAAAGGCAGCGGCGGCACCGCGUCCGGUCCUCGAGCGUAUGGGGCUUUGUCACCCGCUCUGUAGGCCCGGCCGGCGCUUGCCGAUCAACCCAAAUUUUUAUCCAGGUUGACCUCGGAUCAGGUAGGGAUACCCGCUGAACUUAAGCAUAUCAAUAAGCGGAGGA